AGCAGUCGCGCGGUAAUACGAAGGGGGCUAGCGGUGCUCGGAUUUACUGGGCGUAAAGGGCGCGUAGGCGGACAGUUAAGUUGGGGGUGAAAGCCCGGGGCUCAACCUCGGAAUCGCCUUCAAUACUGGUUGUCUUGAGUGUGAGAGAGGUGUGUGGAACUCCGAGUGUAGAGGUGAAAUUCGUAGAUAUUCGGAAGAACACCAGUGGCGAAGGCGACACACUGGCUCACUACUGAUGCUGAGGCGCGAAAGCGUGGGGAGCAAACAGGAUUAGAUACCCCCGUAGUCCCUGUCUCUUAUACC
This 303-nucleotide ribosomal RNA is filed under the name uncultured bacterium. RNAcentral describes it as "partial 16S ribosomal RNA". It matches the Rfam family "Bacterial small subunit ribosomal RNA", at positions 510 to 808 of the family's 1533-position model. The record is from RNAcentral.